This 366-nucleotide ribosomal RNA is filed under the name Pseudomonas aeruginosa. Its description in RNAcentral is "bacterial SSU rRNA". It matches the Rfam family "Bacterial small subunit ribosomal RNA", at positions 81 to 450 of the family's 1533-position model. Lineage: Bacteria; Pseudomonadati; Pseudomonadota; Gammaproteobacteria; Pseudomonadales; Pseudomonadaceae. The record is from RNAcentral.
UGCUCCUGGAUUCAGCGGCGGACGGGUGAGUAAUGCCUAGGAAUCUGCCUGGUAGUGGGGGAUAACGUCCGGAAACGGGCGCUAAUACCGCAUACGUCCUGAGGGAGAAAGUGGGGGAUCUUCGGACCUCACGCUAUCAGAUGAGCCUAGGUCGGAUUAGCUAGUUGGUGGGGUAAAGGCCUACCAAGGCGACGAUCCGUAACUGGUCUGAGAGGAUGAUCAGUCACACUGGAACUGAGACACGGUCCAGACUCCUACGGGAGGCAGCAGUGGGGAAUAUUGGACAAUGGGCGAAAGCCUGAUCCAGCCAUGCCGCGUGUGUGAAGAAGGUCUUCGGAUUGUAAAGCACUUUAAGUUGGGAGGAAG